This 449-nucleotide ribosomal RNA is filed under the name uncultured bacterium. RNAcentral describes it as "bacterial SSU rRNA". It matches the Rfam family "Bacterial small subunit ribosomal RNA", at positions 329 to 793 of the family's 1533-position model. The record is from RNAcentral.
GGCCAGACUCCUACGGGAGGCAGCAGUGGGGGAUAUUGCACAAUGGGGGAAACCCUGAUGCAGCGACGCCGCGUGGGUGAAGAAGCGCCUCGGCGCGUAAAGCCCUGUCAGCAGGGAAGAAAAUGACGGUACCUGAAGAAGAAGCCCCGGCUAACUACGUGCCAGCAGCCGCGGUAAUACGUAGGGGGCAAGCGUUAUCCGGAUUUACUGGGUGUAAAGGGGGCGCAGACGGCGAUGCAAGCCAGGAGUGAAAGCCCGGGGCCCAACCCCGGGACUGCACUGGAAACUGCCGGGCUGGAGUGUCGGAGGGGCAGGCGGAAUUCCUAGUGUAGCGGUGAAAUGCGUAGAUAUUAGGAGGAACACCGGUGGCGAAGGCGGCCUGCUGGACGACGACUGACGCUGAGGCUCGAAAGCGUGGGGAGCAAACAGGAUUAGAUACCCUCGUAGAG